AAUAUUGCACAAUGGGCUCAAGCCUGAUGCAGCCAUGCCGCGUGUGUGAAGAAGGCCUUAGGGUUGUAAAGCACUUUCAGCGAGGAGGAAGGGUAGUGUGUUAAUAGCACAUUGCAUUGACGUUACUCGCAGAAGAAGCACCGGCUAACUCCGUGCCAGCAGCCGCGGUAAUACGGAGGGUGCAAGCGUUAAUCGGAAUUACUGGGCGUAAAGCGCACGCAGGCGGUUUGUUAAGUCAGACGUGAAAUCCCCGCGCUUAACGUGGGAACUGCAUUUGAAACUGGCAAGCUAGAGUCUUGUAGAGGGGGGUAGAAUUCCAGGUGUAGCGGUGAAAUGCGUAGAGAUCUGGAGGAAUACCGGUGGCGAAGGCGGCCCCCUGGACAAAGACUGACGCUCAGGUGCGAAAGCGUGGGGAGCAAACA
Molecule: ribosomal RNA, 422 nt
Filed under: uncultured bacterium
Lineage: Bacteria
Description: partial 16S ribosomal RNA
Rfam family: Bacterial small subunit ribosomal RNA
Source: RNAcentral